This 70-nucleotide transfer RNA is filed under the name Mus musculus (house mouse). RNAcentral describes it as "tRNA-Arg". Lineage: Eukaryota; Metazoa; Chordata; Mammalia; Rodentia; Muridae. The record is from RNAcentral.
GGAGAGGUGGCUCAGUGGUUAAGAGCACUUGCUCUUGCAGAUUGUCGGGGUUCAAUUCCCAGCACCCACA